CUUGGCAUUGUAGUCGAUCAGGCAACCCUUGGCCAGCAGCAGGUCCUAAGAGCAGAUGAUCAGAUUUCUUGUAUUGUUUCCUUUGUGGAACUUCUGCAGCUGAGUGCUGCCGUAGUUCUAAAACUGGAAAGAAAAAAAAGACAAUUUUACCAUUCAUUCUUUUUUUUUUUAAAAGAACUAGAUUAAGAAUAUCGAAAAGGGAAUUAACUCUCAGUAUUAACCUGAGAGCAUGUGAACUAAAACAAAAAACAACGGCAAACAUAAUAGGAACGGGCGCCACCCACUGCACACUCUCUUUCCUAGCAUUUCGCGAGGAGUUCGCCGGAAAACGGAUUACGGUGUAAUUAGCAACUCGAUUUCGCCGGAGCAAGAGAAUAGUUAUGUCUGAUUUGAAAUUGGGGAGUAAUCAAUCGGAUGCGGGUUCUCUCCAAAUUUGGAAUCCGGUAGAACCGAUUGAGCUUUGGCUAGAUCUUUUAAUCUAAAUUUUCUUUAUUUUUUUUUCUUUCUUAUUUUGCC
RNAcentral lists this long non-coding RNA (516 nucleotides) under Nicotiana tabacum (common tobacco). RNAcentral describes it as "long non-coding RNA (NTAB_LNC013311)". The record is from RNAcentral. Lineage: Eukaryota; Viridiplantae; Streptophyta; Magnoliopsida; Solanales; Solanaceae.